RNAcentral lists this unclassified non-coding RNA (253 nucleotides) under uncultured Bryobacterales bacterium. RNAcentral's name for it is "contains 16S-23S intergenic spacer region". It matches the Rfam family "Bacterial small subunit ribosomal RNA", at positions 524 to 776 of the family's 1533-position model. Lineage: Bacteria; Pseudomonadati; Acidobacteriota; Terriglobia; Bryobacterales. The record is from RNAcentral.
UACGUAGGCACCAAGCGUUGUUCGGAAUUACUGGGCGUAAAGCGAGUGUAGGCGGUUUGCCAAGUCCGCUGUGAAAUCUCCCGGCUCAACUGGGAGGGUGCGGCGGAAACUGGCAGGCUUGAGUACGGGAGGGGAGAGUGGAAUUCCUGGUGUAGCGGUGAAAUGCGUAGAUAUCAGGAGGAACACCGGCGGUGAAGACGGCUCUCUGGACCGUUACUGACGCUGAGACUCGAAAGCGUGGGGAGCAAACAGG